GGGGAAACCCAGAUUAAUACCGCAUAUUAUCCCGACCUCUCAUGGGGUUGGGAUGAAAGCUGAGGCGCUGAGGGAUGGGCAUGCGUGACAUUACCUAGUUGGUGAGGUAAGGGCUCACCCAGGCGACAAUAUCUACGCUGGUCUGAGAGGAUGAUCAGCCCCACCGCCACUGAGACACGGGCCCGACUCCUACUGGAGGCAGCAGUAAGGAAUAUUGGUCAAUGGGGGCAACCCUGAACCAGCCUUGCCGCGUGAAGGAUGAAUGUCCUCUGGAUUGUACACUUCUUUUCUCAGGGGUUAAUUGUGAGCUAUAAUCUCGCUUGCCGGUACCUGAGGAAUAAACGCCGGCUAACUACUUGCCAGCUGCCGCGGUAAUACCUACGGUGCGAGCGUUGUCCGGAUUUAUUGGGUUUAAAGGGUGCGCACUGCGGUCUAUUAAGUUAGUGGUGAAAUCGUCCGGCUUAACCGGAUACCCGCCAUUGAUACUGGUACGCUUGAGUGCGACAGAGAGUACUAGACUGCGUGGUGUAGCGAUGAAAUGCAUAGAUAUCACGCAGUAUACCAAUUGAGAAGGCAGGUACCUAUGUCGUAACUGUCGCUCAGGCACGAUAGCGUGGGGAGCGAACUGGAUUAGAUACCUUGGUAGUCCACGCAGUAAACGAUGAUCACUAGGUGUUGGGGAGUUUAUCGUGAGUGCCCCAGUGAAAGCGAUAAGAUGAUCCCCCUGGGGAGUAGGUUCGCAAGAAUGAAAUUCAAAGGAAUGGACGGGGGCCCGCACAAGCGGUGGAGCAUGUGGUUUAAUUGGAUGAUACGGGAGGACCCUUACAUGGGUUACAAUGUCUGUACCAGCCGCGGAAAGGUGGUUUUCCUUCGGGACAGAGUGCAAGGUGGUGCAUGGUUGUUGUCAGCUCGUGCUGUGAGGUGUUGGGUUAAGUUCCGCAACGAGCGCAACCCCUAUUGUUAGUUGCCAGCAUUUCGGAUGGGGACUCUAGCGAAACUGCCUCUGCAAAGAGGGAGGAAGGUGGGGAUGACGUCAAAUCAUC
RNAcentral lists this ribosomal RNA (1043 nucleotides) under uncultured organism. RNAcentral's name for it is "bacterial SSU rRNA". It matches the Rfam family "Bacterial small subunit ribosomal RNA", at positions 150 to 1194 of the family's 1533-position model. The record is from RNAcentral.